UAGUGACUGUCCACAGGGUACAUAUACAACCCGGGGUAUACAAAAGAAUAGGUACAAUGGUGGUUUCUCUAUACAUAGGGACAUCACCCUCGGCCGUAGUCCGAGUAGCAAGGUGAUCGACUAGCAUGCUCCUAGCAAUGUCUAGCUAGACGCGACUCCCUUGCCACGAUCCCUAGCCUCUCCUGUAGAUGGCUCUGUAAAAAAUAUCAAUAAAAAGGGCGUGAGAACUAUUAACAAUAGUUCCCAGUGGAUAAGCCGCC
This 260-nucleotide long non-coding RNA is filed under the name Ananas comosus (pineapple). RNAcentral describes it as "long non-coding RNA (ACOM_LNC003612)". Lineage: Eukaryota; Viridiplantae; Streptophyta; Magnoliopsida; Poales; Bromeliaceae. The record is from RNAcentral.